GGCUUCGGCCAUGAGUAGAGCGGCGAACGGGUGAGUAACACGUGGACAACCUGCCUUGGUGCGGGGGAUAACCUGGGGAAACCUGGGCUAAUACCGCAUACGCUGUUCGGGCUUCGGCCUGUUCAGGAAAGCUGGCCUCUGCUUGCAAGCUGGCGCGCUGAGAGGGGUCCGCGGCUGAUUAGCUAGUUGGUGAGGUAACGGCUCACCAAGGCGACGAUCAGUAGCCGGCCUGAGAGGGUGAUCGGCCACACUGGGACUGAGACACGGCCCAGACUCCUACGGGAGGCAGCAGUGGGGAAUAUUGGACAAUGGGCGCAAGCCUGAUCCAGCAACGCCGCGUGGAGGAAGAAGAUCCUCGGAUCGUAAACUCCUGUCAGGAGGGGCGAAGGGCCGUCGGUGAACAGCCGGCGGUCUUGACGGUACCUCCAGAGGAAGCCCCGGCUAACUCCGUGCCAGCAGCCGCGGUAAUACGGGGGGGGCGAGCGUUAUUCGGAAUUAUUGGGCGUAAAGGGCGCGUAGGCGGCUUCGCAAGUCAAAGGUGAAAUCCCUCGGCUCAACCGAGGAAUUGCCUUUGAAACUGCGUGGCUUGAGGCCGGGAGGGGGCAGUGGAAUUCCCAGUGUAGCGGUGAAAUGCGUAGAUAUUGGGAGGAACACCAGUGGCGAAGGCGGCUGCCUGGACCGGUUCUGACGCUGAUGCGCGAAAGCGUGGGUAGCAAACAGGAUUAGAUACCCUGGUAGUCCACGCUGUAAACGAUGGGUACUCGGUGUCG
RNAcentral lists this ribosomal RNA (770 nucleotides) under uncultured Acidobacteriota bacterium. RNAcentral's name for it is "bacterial SSU rRNA". It matches the Rfam family "Bacterial small subunit ribosomal RNA", at positions 76 to 825 of the family's 1533-position model. Lineage: Bacteria; Pseudomonadati; Acidobacteriota. The record is from RNAcentral.